GUGCUUUGCAGCACAUGUAUUAAAAUUGAAAUGAUACAGAGAAUUCUAGAGUAACCUCUGUGUUAGGAUAAACAUGAAAUUUAAAAAGGGGUCGAUAUUUUU
Fukomys damarensis (Damara mole-rat) is the source of this 102-nucleotide small nuclear RNA. Lineage: Eukaryota; Metazoa; Chordata; Mammalia; Rodentia; Bathyergidae. The record is from Ensembl.